GGUAUUUUAAUGCUCUGAGCAAUGUUCUGCUGGGAAAUCUUGGGUCCUGGCAUUCAGGUGGAUGUUAAUUUUACAUGUACUACCUACCAAGAGUUUGUUGCAGACCAUGUACAUCCCUUCAUGGCAGUGGUGCUCCCCAACAAAUCCGAUCCAAGGAGGUCCCACCUUGUAACUUGCAGAACUUAAAAGAUCUGUUGAUCAUGUCAUGGUGCCAGAUACCACAGGACAUGUUCCGGGGUCUUGUGGAGUCCAUACCUCAGCGCAUCAGAGUUGAUUUGGCAGCACUGGAAAGACAUAAAG
Non-coding RNA from Pelobates cultripes (western spadefoot toad), 300 nucleotides. Lineage: Eukaryota; Metazoa; Chordata; Amphibia; Anura; Pelobatidae. The record is from the annotation of a GenBank genome assembly.